Camelus ferus (Wild Bactrian camel) is the source of this 46-nucleotide non-coding RNA. The record is from Rfam. Lineage: Eukaryota; Metazoa; Chordata; Mammalia; Artiodactyla; Camelidae.
CCAAAGGCUCUUUUCAGAGCCACGUCUGUGCUCAUAAAGAAGCAUG